UUAUGGAGAGUUUGAUCCUGGCUCAGGAUGAACGCUAGCGGCGCGCUUGAUCCAUGCAAGUCGAACGAACCUACAUUCUUCGGAAGGUAGGUUAGUGGCGAACGGGUGAGUAACACGUUGGUGACCUGCCCCUGAGUGGGGGAUAACUACCCGAAAGGGUAGCUAAUCCCGCAUAAGUUCCGGCAUUCGUUUGCCGGAGGAAAGGCUUCGGCCGCUCGGGGAGGGGCCUGCGUUGGAUUAGCUAGUUGGUGGGGUAACGGCCUACCAAGGCGAUGAUCCAUAGGGGGCGUGAGAGCGUGACCCCCCACACUGGCACUGAGACACGGGCCAGACUCCUACGGGAGGCAGCAGGAAGGAAUCUUGCGCAAUGGGCGAAAGCCAGACGCAGCGACGCCGCGUGGGUGAUGAAGGCCUUCGGGUUGUAAAGCCCUUUUCCGAGGGAAGAGAAGGGACGGUACCUCGGGAAUAAGCCUCGGCUAACUACGUGCCAGCAGCCGCGGUAAUACGUAGGAGGCGAGCGUUAUCCGGAUUUACUGGGCGUAAAGAGCGCGCAGGCGGCUACGCAAGUCGUGCGUGAAAGCUCCCGGCUCAACUGGGAGAGGUCGUGCGAUACUUCGUGGCUAGAGGUCAGAAGAGGAGAGCGGAAUUCCCGGUGUAGCGGUGAAAUGCGUAGAUAUCGGGAGGAACACCAGUGGCGAAGGCGGCUCUCUGGUCUGCACCUGACGCUGAGGCGCGAAAGCGUGGGGAGCGAUCGGGAUUAGAUACCCCGGUAGUCCACGCCGUAAACGAUGGAUGCUAGGUGUUGGUGGUAUCGACCCCAUCGGCGCCGUAGCUAACGCGUUAAGCAUCCCGCCUGAGGAUUACGGCCGCAAGGCUAAAACUCAAAGGAAUUGACGGGGGCC
RNAcentral lists this ribosomal RNA (902 nucleotides) under Anaerolineae bacterium. RNAcentral describes it as "bacterial SSU rRNA". It matches the Rfam family "Bacterial small subunit ribosomal RNA", at positions 1 to 921 of the family's 1533-position model. Lineage: Bacteria; Bacillati; Chloroflexota; Anaerolineae. The record is from RNAcentral.